Molecule: ribosomal RNA, 229 nt
Filed under: uncultured bacterium
Lineage: Bacteria
Description: partial 16S ribosomal RNA
Rfam family: Bacterial small subunit ribosomal RNA
Source: RNAcentral
UGCGUAGGCGGAAUAUUAAGUCAGUGGUGCAAUCCUGCGGCUCAACCGUAGAACUGCCAUUGAUACUGAUAUUCUUGAAUGUAGUUGAGGUAGGCGGAAUGUGUAAUGUAGCGGUGAAAUGCUUAGAUAUUACACAGAACACCGAUUGCGAAGGCAGCUUACUAAACUAUGAUUGACGCUGAGGCACGAAAGCGUGGGGAGCGAACAGGAUUAGAUACCCUGGUAGUCC